UGAGGAAUCUUGCGCAAUGGGGGAAACCCUGACGCAGCAACGCCGCGUGAGUGAGGAAGGUUUUCGGAUCGUAAAGCUCUGUCGGGUGGAAAGAAAUGUAUGAGUGUUAAUAGCGCUCAUACUUGACGGUACCACCAAAGGAAGCACCGGCUAACUCCGUGCCAGCAGCCGCGGUAAUACGGAGGGUGCAAGCGUUGUUCGGAAUCAUUGGGCGUAAAGAGCGUGUAGGCGGCCUGAUAAGUCAGAUGUGAAAGCCCUGGGCUCAACCCAGGAAGUGCAUUUGAAACUGUGAGGCUUGAGUAGGGGAGAGGGAAGUGGAAUUCCUGGUGUAGAGGUGAAAUUCGUAGAUAUCAGGAGGAACACCGGUGGCGAAGGCGACUUCCUGGCCCUAUACUGACGCUGAGACGCGAGAGCGUGGGUAGCAAAUA
Molecule: ribosomal RNA, 428 nt
Filed under: uncultured prokaryote
Description: bacterial SSU rRNA
Rfam family: Bacterial small subunit ribosomal RNA
Source: RNAcentral